CGGAGUAAAGAGUAAGGGAAACCAAUCUCAUGUUGCAGUCGACGACACCAGAUGAUUUUUUUGGCUACCAUAUAGCAUGCAAUGUACUUAGAGUAUGUAGUAUUACAGGUUUACGACCAAAGGAUAAAUCAAUUAACUCCCAAGUAUUGUUGUCUAACAAAGAAUCGAACUCCCCGUGCAUGGCAUUUUUCCAAUGUUCGUAAUACGGGGAAGCAAGCGCCUCCUGAUACGUUUGUGGUACUGCUAGAAGGAAUAUGAACGAAGACCUUCAGCCAAAAGGACGCAUGUGAGCGAGAGAUGGCUUCUUCCCUGUGUAUGCUGCAAAGGGUGUAACAGUGGGAAGAAGGCGAGAAUAAGUGUGUAAACAAUAUUGUCGACGGCCUCGGCCCAAAAAGCUGGAUCUAAACUGGCAUAGUGAAUAGUGCUUCGAACGGCCUCCAUUAUAGUACAAUUGUCUCGUUCUGAAACCAUAUUUUGUUUGGUGUAUAGGGUAUCGUGAGCUCAUGUUUGAUGCCUUCGGUGUGUAGGUAGUGAGUGAAUUUUUGACUGCAAAACUCUCCAGCCUUAUCGGUUUGUAGGGUGACCAAGACGAAGAUGCCACGUAUGGAGGUCUUGUAACUCGUCGAAGGAUGAUGUAUUGCCGAAAGAGUAAGCGUAAGAAACAGUAGCUAGCAAAAGAAGAAUGUAAGAGCCCUAGAUCCUGUGGCCCGUCAUGAUCAGAGUGUUAUUUUGAAUUAAUUCACAGGAAUUAUCCUUACAAA
This is a non-coding RNA of Physcomitrium patens, 761 nucleotides long. NCBI's taxonomy places the organism in Eukaryota, Viridiplantae, Streptophyta, Bryopsida, Funariales, Funariaceae. The record is from RefSeq and is a predicted model, not a curated record.